RNAcentral lists this ribosomal RNA (253 nucleotides) under uncultured bacterium. RNAcentral's name for it is "partial 16S ribosomal RNA". It matches the Rfam family "Bacterial small subunit ribosomal RNA", at positions 524 to 776 of the family's 1533-position model. The record is from RNAcentral.
GACGAACUGUGCAAACGUUAUUCGGAAUUACUGGGCGUAAAGGGCGCGUAGGCGGCCCGCUAAGUCGAACGUGAAAUCCCCGGGCUCAACCCGGGAACUGCGUCCGAUACUGGUGGGCUCGAAUCCGGGAGAGGGAUGCGGAAUUCCAGGUGUAGCGGUGAAAUGCGUAGAUAUCUGGAGGAACACCGGUGGCGAAGGCGGCAUCCUGGACCGGUAUUGACGCUGAGGCGCGAAAGCCAGGGGAGCAAACGGG